Molecule: ribosomal RNA, 462 nt
Filed under: uncultured Chitinophagaceae bacterium
Lineage: Bacteria; Pseudomonadati; Bacteroidota; Chitinophagia; Chitinophagales; Chitinophagaceae
Description: bacterial SSU rRNA
Rfam family: Bacterial small subunit ribosomal RNA
Source: RNAcentral
CUCCUACGGGGGGCUGCAGUAAGGAAUAUUGGUCAAUGGACGCAAGUCUGAACCAGCCAUGCCGCGUGAAGGAUGAAGGUCCUCUGGAUUGUAAACUUCUUUUAUAUGGGACGAAAAAAGGGGAUUCUUCCUCACUUGACGGUACCAUAGGAAUAAGCACCGGCUAACUCCGUGCCAGCAGCCGCGGUAAUACGGAGGGUGCAAGCGUUAUCCGGAUUUACUGGGUUUAAAGGGUGCGUAGGUGGGCAGGUAAGUCAGUGGUGAAAUCUCCGGGCUUAACCCGGAAACUGCCAUUGAUACUAUCUGUCUUGAAUAUCCUGGAGGUGAGCGGAAUAUGUCAUGUAGCGGUGAAAUGCUUAGAUAUGACAUAGAACACCGAUUGCGAAGGCAGCUCACUACGGGAUCAUUGACGCUGAGGCACGAAAGCGUGGGGAUCAAACAGGAUUAGAUACCCCGGUAGUC